GGCCGCCUGGCGAAAUGGCAUCGCGUCUGACUACGAAUCAGGAGAUUGCAGGUUUGACCCCUGCGGUGGUCA
Molecule: transfer RNA, 72 nt
Filed under: Amanita muscaria Koide BX008
Lineage: Eukaryota; Fungi; Basidiomycota; Agaricomycetes; Agaricales; Amanitaceae
Rfam family: tRNA
About the family: Transfer RNA (tRNA) molecules are approximately 80 nucleotides in length. Their secondary structure includes four short double-helical elements and three loops (D, anti-codon, and T loops).
Source: Rfam by way of RNAcentral